AGAGUUUGAUCCUGGCUCAGAAUGAACGCUGGCGGCAGGCCUAACACAUGCAAGUCGAACGAGGCAGCAAUGCCUAGUGGCGGACGGGUGAGUAACGCGUGGGGAACCUACCUCUUUGUGGGGAAUAACGUUCCGAAAGGAAUGGUAAUACCGCAUGAGACCAUGGGCUGGGAUGCUUAUGGUGAAACCCGGGGACCGCAAGGCCUGGGGCAAGGAGAGGGUCCUGCGUCUGAUUAGCUAGUUGGCGGGGUAACGGCCCACCAAGGCGUCGAUCAGUAGCCGGCCUGAGAGGGUGAUCGGCCACACUGGAACUGAGACACGGUCCAGACUCCUACGGGAGGCAGCAGUGGGGAAUUUUGCGCAAUGGGCGAGAGCCUGACGCAGCAACGCCGCGUGGGUGAUGAAGGUCUUCGGAUCGUAAAACCCUGUCGUCAGGGACGAAGGUCACGAGUUUAAGAGAUGCGUGACUUGACGGUACCUGGAGAGGAAGCCCCGGCUAACUCUGUGCCAGCAGCCGCGGUAAUACAGAGGGGGCAAGCGUUAUUCGGAAUUAUUGGGCGUAAAGGGCGCGUAGGCGGUGAUUUAAGUGAGAUGUGUAAUCCCCGAGCUUAACUUGGGAACUGCAUCUCAGACUGGGUCGCUAGAGUGCUGGAGAGGGUGGUGGAAUUCCACGUGUAGCGGUGAAAUGCGUAGAGAUGUGGAGGAACACCAGUGGCGAAGGCGGCCACCUGGACAAUGACUGACGCUGAGGUACGAAAGUGCGGGGAGCAAACAGGAUUAGAUACCCUGGUAG
This 793-nucleotide ribosomal RNA is filed under the name uncultured bacterium. Its description in RNAcentral is "bacterial SSU rRNA". It matches the Rfam family "Bacterial small subunit ribosomal RNA", at positions 8 to 793 of the family's 1533-position model. The record is from RNAcentral.